AGCAUGUGUGUUAGUGGAAGCGUCUGGAAAGGCGCGCGAUACAGGGUGACAGCCCCGUACACAAAAGCGCAUGUGCUGUGAGCUCGAUGAGUAGGGCGGGACACGUGGUAUCCUGUCUGAAUAUGGGGGGACCAUCCUCCAAGGCUAAAUACUCCUGACUGACCGAUAGUGAACCAGUACCGUGAGGGAAAGGCGAAAAGAACCCCGGCGAGGGGAGUGAAAAAGAACCUGAAACCGUGUACGUACAAGCAGUGGGAGCCCCACCACUAAGCCAGUGGUGAACUCCACAUACGCAUCCUUUGCUGAGGAUACGGUUAACGGAGCGAAAGCGACGUUCAACCUCAAAAGAAGCAGAGGGGGCUUAGUGGUGGGGUGACUGCGUACCUUUUGUAUAAUGGGUCAGCGACUUAUAUUCUGUAGCAAGGUUAACCGAAUAGGGGAGCCGGAGGGAAACCGAGUCUUAAUUGGGCGUUAAGUUGCAGGGUAUAGACCCGAAACCCGGUGAUCUAGCCAUGGG
RNAcentral lists this ribosomal RNA (517 nucleotides) under Salmonella enterica subsp. enterica serovar Senftenberg. RNAcentral's name for it is "bacterial LSU rRNA". It matches the Rfam family "Bacterial large subunit ribosomal RNA", at positions 319 to 740 of the family's 2925-position model. Lineage: Bacteria; Pseudomonadati; Pseudomonadota; Gammaproteobacteria; Enterobacterales; Enterobacteriaceae. The record is from RNAcentral.